AGAUGCGAUCAUACCAGCACUAAAGCAUCAGAUCCCAUCAGAACUCCAAAGUUAAGCGUGCUUGGGCGAGAGUAGUACUAGGAUGGGUGACCUCCUGGGAAGUCCUCAUGUUGCAUUCC
RNAcentral lists this ribosomal RNA (119 nucleotides) under Triticum dicoccoides. The record is from RNAcentral. Lineage: Eukaryota; Viridiplantae; Streptophyta; Magnoliopsida; Poales; Poaceae.